CAGCCGCCGCGGGAAUACGAAGGGGGCUAGCGUUGCUCGGAAUGACUGGGCGUAAAGGGCGCGUAGGCGGAUUGCGCAGUCAGAUGUGAAAUUCCUGGGCUUAACCUGGGGGCUGCAUUUGAGACGCGUAGUCUAGAGUGUGAAAGAGGGUCGUGGAAUUCCCAGUGUAGAGGUGAAAUUCGUAGAUAUUGGGAAGAACACCGGUGGCGAAGGCGGCGACCUGGUUCAUAACUGACGCUGAGGCGCGAAGGCGUGGGGAGCAAACAGGAUUAGAUACCCGCGUAGUCCCUGUCUCUUAUAC
This 301-nucleotide ribosomal RNA is filed under the name uncultured bacterium. RNAcentral describes it as "partial 16S ribosomal RNA". It matches the Rfam family "Bacterial small subunit ribosomal RNA", at positions 509 to 807 of the family's 1533-position model. The record is from RNAcentral.